Molecule: ribosomal RNA, 253 nt
Filed under: uncultured bacterium
Lineage: Bacteria
Description: partial 16S ribosomal RNA
Rfam family: Bacterial small subunit ribosomal RNA
Source: RNAcentral
UACGAAGGGGGCUAGCGUUGCUCGGAAUCACUGGGCGUAAAGGGUGCGUAGGCGGGUCUUUAAGUCAGGGGUGAAAUCCUGGAGCUCAACUCCAGAACUGCCUUUGAUACUGAGGAUCUUGAGUUCGGGAGAGGUGAGUGGAACUGCGAGUGUAGAGGUGAAAUUCGUAGAUAUUCGCAAGAACACCAGUGGCGAAGGCGGCUACCUGGACCGGUUCUGACGCUGAUGCGCGAAAGCGUGGGUAGCAAACAGG